This is a long non-coding RNA of Equus caballus (horse), 3641 nucleotides long. Lineage: Eukaryota; Metazoa; Chordata; Mammalia; Perissodactyla; Equidae. The record is from Ensembl.
AAGUGCCCAGGUGAGUGAGCCGAUCAGGUUCCACACAGCUGGAAAUGGUUAAAGGCUCUCCAAUGGCCUCUCAAUUGAUUAGUUUCCUUCAGCCUAAUUUGCAGCCAUCUUAGCCAAGCCUUCAUAUUUCUUCCCUUUUCAACCCGGUCCCUCAUUUUCCACCUGGAGAAGUCUCUUCUCAAUCGCCUAGGCAACGGAGACAAGAGCUAGGACGCUGUCGCACGGGCCUAGCUUCUGUCAGAGAAGUGGAAGAGCUUUCUUGUAUGCCUUAUUAUGAAGAAAUGGCGAAUGGGAGAAAGUAGGUGAUAACUGCACAACUACGUAGUGACAGAUUUGGGACUGAAGCCAAGUUUCCUGCUUCAUUAUUCCAGUGUGCUUUCUUCUGCAUUGAGACCAACCACAGAACCUAGAAGAGUAGAAGGGAAAUUUCUCCUCCCCUGCAGUAUUGUUGGGCCUGUUGACCUCACUGUCACAACCUCAUCGAGUAUGACAUUCAAAAGAGCGAAGCCCCCUGGUACAUAGUUGUAUAUUCUUCGUUGUGGGUCCUUUUGUUGUGUCAUGUGGGACGCCGCCUCAGCGUGGUUCGACGAGCAGUGCCAUGUCCGUGCCCAGGAUUCGAACCAACGAAACACUGGGCCGCCUGCAGUGGAGCGCGCAAACUCAACCAUUUGGCCAUGGGGCCAACCCCGGUGCCAGGUUAUUCUGAUGGGAUCCAGAACUAAAUGAGAUAUAAACCUCAAACAGGUUAAACAUUCUGCAAGAUUGUAUGUAUUUUUCAAACGUGUUUACAACUGCUAUGGAUUCUCUUCCUAGAAAGUUGUGUUAUAUGUAUGUAGAUGCACAUGAUGUAUUUUUUUAACUUUUUAUUGAGAUUAUGAUAGUUUGCAACCUUGUGAAAUGUCAGUUGUACAUUAUUGUUUGUCAGUCAUGUUGUAGGUGCAUCACUUCACCCUUUGUGCCCACCCCCCCUUUCCCCUGGUAACCACUAAUCUGUUCUCUUUGUCUACAUUUUUACCUUCCACAUGUGAGUGGAGUCAUACAGAGAUUGUCUUUCUCUAUCUGAAUUAUUUCACUUAACAUAAUUCCCUCAAGGUCCAGCCAUGUUGUUGUGAAUGGGACAAUUUCAUCUUUUUUUAUGGCUGAGUAGUAUUCCAUUGCAUAUAUACCAAAUCUUCUUUAUCCAGUCAUCAGUUGAUGGGCACUUAGGUUGCUUCCACGUCUUGGCUAUUGGAAAUAAUGCUGAUGCACAGGAUAUUUUACUUACAAUUUGUUAUUUGUGAACCUUCUGAUACUCAUUCAAGGAUCCAGAUUAGACAUUCAAUGGUCCAUUUAUAAUUUAUGCAGUUGCAUUGUAAUUGUUGGAUAGCGUAUUUUUAAGUCACUGAGGUUGACUUAUAUUAGACACCUGUUGGGAUUUUGGCUCAACCGUGAUUGGAGUGAAGGAAUACCUGUGUCUCCUUUGAUGCCGCUUCAUUGGUGCUAAGUACAGGGGAAAUUCUCAAAAUUAUUCCCCAUGAUAAUUGCCUUUAUUGAAAAAUAGGUUAUUAAUGACAAUAAAUCAAAACAUGGCAUUUCAUAAUCCCCUGAUUCACUUGCCACACGUAAGAGCAUUUCUGUUUUUACUUGAGUUUUGGGGGAGGGCUCCUUUUACUCCAUCAAGCUCCCUUUCCCCAACCCUAAUCUCUUCCCUCUGCCAACAAAGUUGGAAUUUUCUGCCUAUCUUUGUAGUUUUUCUGUACCUUUCUUACCUUCAUGAAAAAAACUUUAUAUCAGUGAAUGGAAGAAAUUGAAAUUUGCUGUUGCCUACAAGUCCUUAGAUAGAGGACUACAUUAUUUCUCUAUUUCUUUGGGGUAGAAAUGAGUAUUUGGUGAAUAAAAUCUGGCAUAUGAAACUGGACAACAACAACAGCAACAAGAAUAACACCACCACCACCACAAACUUGAGAAAUUAAAGAAUUUAUUCAUGGUUCCUCUGAAAAUUACCUAAAUUCAUCCAUGCAUUCACAGUAUUAAGAAAUAACAUGAAACAAUAACUGAAUAAUUUGUAAAGAUCACUUCCUGAGUUUAAGAAGACCUCAGACAUUUUUACUCCCACAAAGGCCUAAAUUAUUAAAACACCUUGAAAUUAGCCUUGUGGAUAAUGUUGAUUACCUAAAGGAAAAAAAUCACAUACAACUAUUGGCUGCGAGCGUUGUUUGUCUUUGCAAGGCAAUGUAUUAAAAGUUUGGGCAUGUGAGAGAGAGCUGGUACAGUUACAUACCUCAGAGUGUGCUGUGGAUGGUAGAUUGUUUGCAAAGAGAGCUGAGGACCAAUGCUGGGUAUACGAAUUAAUGAUUUAGGGAAGCUUUUCAGACAUACAACCAAAAUUCCUGAUGGAGUAUUUCAGUUUAAACUCUACUGAAUUUGGGUACUCCCACAACAAAAUCUUCAGUCCUGCUUCUGUUGGAAAGAAUUAUUAAAGAAAUUUCCAGUUUAAGUUGAAAUGAUUAUGACAAGCCUGUCUCAUAACUACGUGGUGAAUGUCUAGACUUAGCUCUAAUUGGUCUUAUUUUAAUGGAUUUAUUGUUUAAUUGCUUGUGGGAAUGAUUUAUUCUUUCACAGAACUGAGAUUAAUGGCAACUGGCGGCUUUAUUGGCAUUGCUAUCAGAGAAAUGACCCAAAGUCUCAAAAUAGAAUUGAGAAGACAGAUUCUAGGCACAGAGGAAUGUCAGACUAAUAUAGCUUCAUGAAAACUGUUUUAAAAGUGUUGUUACUUCAGUGAUUUUGUAACAUGUCCAUUAAUACCAUUUUUAAUUCUUAUUUUUUAAUGUAUAGGGUUGAGACCAUACUAUAGCAUAUGAAUGUAAUUUCCUUUUAUAGAGUGCAUAAGACUGAUAUUUUAAAAAUGGAUUUAAAAACCCCAUAUUUAAAACUAUUAAUUUCAAACCACAGGCUUUCCCAUAUCCUCUGUAUAAUAAUAUAUUUUGGUAGAAGAUUGGAAACCUGUGUAGAAGAAUAAUAUAUGUUGAGUACUCAGUUUUGUUAGAUUGCUCUAUGCUAUUUGUGUGUAUUUGCAGUGCAUAUAAUGUCUGUGGAAAUUUUGUGUGGCAUUGUUAUUUGCAUAUUUUCAUCUGUUGGUAGAUAGACAAAAACUGAUAUCUCCUCUGGAUAGUCAUGUUAUUGCUGUGUGUUCUAUGUCAGGUCAGAUUUUCGUCUAACUAGCUUUGGAGGACAGGAGUUAGUGACGACUGCCAUUCUGCAUAUUGUAUAUUUUUCUGGGAUCUAUAAAUUCAUUGUUACAGUACAAAUAAAUAUUGUGAGAGGCCUCAUAUUUUCCAGAUAGUGAAGUUCAAUGAUGUGAGGGAAUACAUUUAAGUGUGAAAAACAUAAUUUAUAAUAUAUAAGAAAUUGUAUAAUAGCUAUUUGGUAUUACAGAAUGAAAACUCAAGAUUUCAGUGGACAAGAACCUAGAUAUUACCAAAAAAUAUAAUACUCUUUUUUUAUUGUGAACUAGAGUAUGUAUGUAGAAAAAAUUAUAAAACAAAUACUUGUUAUGUUAACAAAUAGUUCUGUGAACACUGUGUAGUCACCAUUGAGGUCAAGAAAGAGAAGCUAGCUAGCUCCCCGGGACCCCCAACCCCUUUUGUCCCUCUUUAAUCACA